RNAcentral lists this ribosomal RNA (671 nucleotides) under uncultured Bacteroidota bacterium. Its description in RNAcentral is "bacterial SSU rRNA". It matches the Rfam family "Bacterial small subunit ribosomal RNA", at positions 9 to 677 of the family's 1533-position model. Lineage: Bacteria; Pseudomonadati; Bacteroidota. The record is from RNAcentral.
GAGUUUGAUCCUGGCUCAGGAUGAACGCUAGCGGGAGGCUUAACACAUGCAAGUCGAGGGGCAGCAUUUACUUCGGUAAGAUGGCGACCGGCGCACGGGUGCGUAACGCGUAUGCAACCUGCCUUGUACAGAGGGAUAGCCCAUGGAAACGUGGAUUAAUACCUCAUAGUAUUACAGAAUCGCAUGGUUUUGUAAUUAAAGAUUCAUCGGUACAAGAUGGGCAUGCGUAUGAUUAGCUAGUUGGUGAGGUAACAGCUCACCAAGGCAACGAUCAUUAGGGGUUCUGAGAGGAUUAUCCCCCACACUGGUACUGAGACACGGACCAGACUCCUACGGGAGGCAGCAGUGAGGAAUAUUGGUCAAUGGGCGCAAGCCUGAACCAGCCAUCCCGCGUGCAGGAUGACGGCCCUAUGGGUUGUAAACUGCUUUUCUAUACCAAGAAAUAUAGCUACGUGUAGUUAUUUGCCGGUAGUACAGGAAUAAGCCACGGCUAACUCCGUGCCAGCAGCCGCGGUAACACGGGGGUGGCAAGCGUUGUCCGGAAUUACUAGGCGUAAAGGGCAGGUAGGCGGAUAUUCAAGUCAGGCGUUAAAGGCAUCGGCUCAACCGGUGUACGGCGUUUGAAACUGGAUAUCUAGAGUCAGGUAGAGGUAGAUGGAAUUCCUAGUGUA